This 363-nucleotide long non-coding RNA is filed under the name Hordeum vulgare. RNAcentral's name for it is "long non-coding RNA (HVUL_LNC019945)". The record is from RNAcentral. Lineage: Eukaryota; Viridiplantae; Streptophyta; Magnoliopsida; Poales; Poaceae.
UGGAGGAGUCACUUACCAAGGAGUAAUUUCCCCAAAACGGUUCGGAGAAUGGUGCUUUGAGCAAGGAGAUCGAAAAUCACAGCCAAAUGAGCAAGAACACGGGUUUGAGCUGCGAAACAAUUUUUUCUGGAAGUGGAAGAAGAGGCUGGGAGCUAGAAUGAGUGGAGGGGGUGCCUGUGGGCCCCACAAGCUUGCACUCCGCCACCAGGGGGGUAGGUGGCGGUGGCAGGGCUUGUGGCCCACUGAUCUGGGGCCCAGGCCAGCUCUCAUGCCCAGAAAUUUUCAAAAAUUCCAGAAAAAAUCAUACUAAAUUUUCCGGACCAUCGGAGAACUUUUAUUUUUGAGGUAUUUUUAUCCGGGACG